RNAcentral lists this ribosomal RNA (503 nucleotides) under uncultured bacterium. Its description in RNAcentral is "partial 16S ribosomal RNA". It matches the Rfam family "Bacterial small subunit ribosomal RNA", at positions 30 to 523 of the family's 1533-position model. The record is from RNAcentral.
AUUGAACGCUGGCGGCAGGCUUAACACAUGCAAGUCGAGCGGGGUGAUGGUGCUUGCACUAUCACUUAGCGGCGGACGGGUGAGUAAUGCUUAGGAAUCUGCCUAUUAGUGGGGGACAACAUCUCGAAAGGGAUGCUAAUACCGCAUACGUCCUACGGGAGAAAGCAGGGGAUCACUUGUGACCUUGCGCUAAUAGACGAGCCUAAGUCGGAUUAGCUAGUUGGUGGGGUAAAGGCCUACCAAGGCGACGAUCUGUAGCGGGUCUGAGAGGAUGAUCCGCCGCACUGGGACUGAGACACGGCCUAGACUCCUACGGGAGGCAGCAGUGGGGAAUAUUGGACAAUGGGGGGAACCCUGAUCCAGCCAUGCCGCGUGUGUGAAGAAGGCCUUAUGGUUGUAAAGCACUUUAAGCGAGGAGGAGGCUCUUUUGGUUAAUACCCAAGAUGAGUGGACGUUACUCGCAGAAUAAGCACCGGCUAACUCUGUGCCAGCAGCCGCCGUAA